Molecule: unclassified non-coding RNA, 217 nt
Filed under: soil metagenome
Description: partial contains 5.8S ribosomal RNA, internal transcribed spacer 2, and large subunit ribosomal RNA
Source: RNAcentral
AACCUUAUGGACCUGCGGGCGUAUACCUGCGGAAGGAUCAUUACAGAGUUAUCCAACUCCCAAACCCAUGUGAACUUAUCUCUUUGUUGCCUCGGCGCAAGCUACCCGGGACCCCGCGCCCCGGGCGGCCCGCCGGCGGACAAACCAAAACUCUUGUUAUCUUAGUUGAUUCUCUGAGCGUCUUAUUUAAUAAGUCAAAACUUUUAACAAUGGAUCU